CGCAUUGAUGGACACUUAAGGUUGUUUCCUUAUCUUGGCUGUUCUGAAUAAUGUUGCAAUAAAUGGGUAUGUAAAUAUCUCUCUGCGAUACUGAUUUCAUUUCUUUUAGAUAUAUACUGAAAAGAUACCUGGAUCACAUGGUUCUUUAUUUUCAGUUUUAUUGAGGAAUUACCAUACUGCUUUCCACGUGGCUGCACCAAUUUAUAUUCCCACCAACAUUGCAUGAGGGUUCCCUUUCCUCAGUCCAUUUGCCAACACUUAUGUUUUAGACAAUAGGAGUUCUGAAAAGUGUAAAGGGAUAUCUGACUGUAGGUUGGAUUUGCAUUUCCAUGAUGACUAAUAACGUUGAAAAUCUUUUCAUGUACUUGUUAGGCCAUCUGUAAGACUUUGGAAAAAUGUCUAUUCAGAUCCUCUGCUCAUUUUUAGUUAGACUUUUUGUUAUUGCUAUGGAGUUGUAUGAGUGGAUAAUGAUCCCUUUUUUGGAUAUUAACCCCUUUUUAAAUAAUAUGAUUUGCAAAUACCUUCUCCCAUUCAGUAGAUUGCCUCUUUGUUUACUUGAUUUACUUCACUAUGCAGACGUUUUUAGUUUAAUGUAAUCUCAUUUAUUUUUCCUUUUGUUUCCCUUGCCUUUAGAGUCAGAUUCAAAAGACAUCAGUAAGACCAAUGUCAAAGAGUUCAGUACUGAUGGUUCUUCUGGUAGUUUUAUAGUUUCAGAUCUUGUAUUUAAGUCUUAGUCCAUUUGAGUUGAUUUUUAAAUACAGUACAAGAUAAUGGUCCAAUUUUCCCAACACCAUUUGUUGAAGAGACUCUCCUUUCCCGAUUGCAUAUUUUUGCUUUCUCUGUCAUAAAUCAAUUGACUAUAUAUGUGUAGGUUUAUUUUUAGACUUUUCAUUAUGUUCCAUUGAUCUAUAUGUCUGUUUUUGUGACAAUAUCUAUUGUUUUGAUUACUAUAACUUUGUAGUAUAGUUUGGGAUCGGGGAGUGCAAUACAUUCAGCAUUGUUCUUUCUAAAGAUCGGCUAUUCAGGGAUUUUUGAAGUUCCAUAUUAUUUUUAUGAUUAUUUGUUCUAGUUUCUGUGAAAAACUAGAUUGGUACUUUGAUAGGAAUUGCAUUGAACAUAUAGAUUCCUUUGGAAGUGGGGACAUUUUAACCAUACCGCUUCCUCUAAUCCAUGAGCAUGAAAUAUUUUUCCAUUUUUUGCGUCAUCUUUCAUUACUUUCACCAGUGUUUUAUAGUUUUCAGAGUACAGGUAUUUUACCUCCUUGGUUAAAUUUAUUUCUAUGUAUGUUAUUCUUUUGAUGAGAUUAUAAACAGGAUGGUUUUCUUGAUUUCUCUGAUAGUUCAUUAUUAGUGUAUAGAAACACAAGAGAUUCAUAAAUAUUAAUUUUGUAUCCAGAAACUUUAUUGAAUCCAUUUAUUACUUCUAACAGUUUCUUGGUGGAGUCUUUAGGGUUUUCUAUAUAGUAUCAUGUCACCUGCAAAUAGUGACAGUUUUACUUCUUCCUUUAUAAUUUGGAUGCCUUUUAUUUAUUUUUCUUGCCUAAUUGCUCUGGCUAGAACUUCCAAUACUUUGUUGAAUAAAAACUAAAAGAGUGGGG
Molecule: long non-coding RNA, 1597 nt
Filed under: Canis lupus familiaris (dog)
Lineage: Eukaryota; Metazoa; Chordata; Mammalia; Carnivora; Canidae
Description: lncRNA (ENSCAFG00845021423.1)
Source: RNAcentral